This 583-nucleotide ribosomal RNA is filed under the name Staphylococcus aureus. RNAcentral's name for it is "partial 23S ribosomal RNA". It matches the Rfam family "Bacterial large subunit ribosomal RNA", at positions 2320 to 2904 of the family's 2925-position model. Lineage: Bacteria; Bacillati; Bacillota; Bacilli; Caryophanales; Staphylococcaceae. The record is from RNAcentral.
CCUCAGAAUGGUUGGAAAUCAUUCAUAGAGUGUAAAGGCAUAAGGGAGCUUGACUGCGAGACCUACAAGUCGAGCAGGGUCGAAAGACGGACUUAGUGAUCCGGUGGUUCCGCAUGGAAGGGCCAUCGCUCAACGGAUAAAAGCUACCCCGGGGAUAACAGGCUUAUCUCCCCCAAGAGUUCACAUCGACGGGGAGGUUUGGCACCUCGAUGUCGGCUCAUCGCAUCCUGGGGCUGUAGUCGGUCCCAAGGGUUGGGCUGUUCGCCCAUUAAAGCGGUACGCGAGCUGGGUUCAGAACGUCGUGAGACAGUUCGGUCCCUAUCCGUCGUGGGCGUAGGAAAUUUGAGAGGAGCUGUCCUUAGUACGAGAGGACCGGGAUGGACAUACCUCUGGUGUACCAGUUGUCGUGCCAACGGCAUAGCUGGGUAGCUAUGUGUGGACGGGAUAAGUGCUGAAAGCAUCUAAGCAUGAAGCCCCCCUCAAGAUGAGAUUUCCCAACUUCGGUUAUAAGAUCCCUCAAAGAUGAUGAGGUUAAUAGGUUCGAGGUGGAAGCAUGGUGACAUGUGGAGCUGACGAAUACUAA